RNAcentral lists this long non-coding RNA (240 nucleotides) under Elaeis guineensis (African oil palm). RNAcentral describes it as "long non-coding RNA (EGUI_LNC017490)". Lineage: Eukaryota; Viridiplantae; Streptophyta; Magnoliopsida; Arecales; Arecaceae. The record is from RNAcentral.
GGCAAUGAAUCCAAUAUAUUAUAAAAAAUAAAUGGAGACUCAAGAGUCGGCUGAAAAUGGUGAUGACUUAUAGUAGCAUAAAUAAAAAGGAUUGAAGUAAAUUUGAACAAGUUUACUUGAAGUUUGGAUGGUAGGUAUGAUUAUGAAAUGCGACAUGUCAUAACCUAGUUGCCUUGUUGAAUUAGAUUGGGAUAGCUAAGUAUAAAUACCAUAAGGAUAUACUUAUUUCGAGCAAUCACG